Molecule: non-coding RNA, 110 nt
Organism: Acanthosepion pharaonis
Lineage: Eukaryota; Metazoa; Mollusca; Cephalopoda; Sepiida; Sepiidae
Source: the annotation of a GenBank genome assembly
CACUAUCACGUUUAAACUACGGGUUUCCAUUGGAUCUCUGAAGUUAAGCAAUAUCGAGUCUAAUCAGUACCAAGAUGCGUGACCGCUUGAGAAUAUCUGGUGCUGUAAGC